This 497-nucleotide ribosomal RNA is filed under the name uncultured bacterium. Its description in RNAcentral is "partial 16S ribosomal RNA". It matches the Rfam family "Bacterial small subunit ribosomal RNA", at positions 28 to 507 of the family's 1533-position model. The record is from RNAcentral.
GAUGAACGCUGGCGGCGUGCCUAAUACAUGCAAGUCGAGCGAACAGACGAGGAGCUUGCUCCUCUGACGUUAGCGGCGGACGGGUGAGUAACACGUGGAUAACCUACCUAUAAGACUGGGAUAACUUCGGGAAACCGGAGCUAAUACCGGAUAAUAUAUUGAACCGCAUGGUUCAAUAGUGAAAGACGGUUUUGCUGUCACUUAUAGAUGGAUCCGCGCCGCAUUAGCUAGUUGGUAAGGUAACGGCUUACCAAGGCAACGAUGCGUAGCCGACCUGAGAGGGUGAUCGGCCACACUGGAACUGAGACACGGUCCAGACUCCUACGGGAGGCAGCAGUAGGGAAUCUUCAGAAAUGGGCGAAAGCUUGACGGAGCAACGCCGCGUGAGUGAUGAAGGUCUUCGGAUCGUAAAACUCUGUUAUUAGGGAAGAACAAAUGUGUAAGUAACUAUGCACGUCUUGACGGUACCUAAUCAGAAAGCCACGGCUAACUACGUG